RNAcentral lists this transfer RNA (72 nucleotides) under Nitrospiraceae bacterium. Its description in RNAcentral is "tRNA-Gly". It matches the Rfam family "tRNA". From Rfam's summary of the family: Transfer RNA (tRNA) molecules are approximately 80 nucleotides in length. Their secondary structure includes four short double-helical elements and three loops (D, anti-codon, and T loops). RNAcentral also lists the same sequence under 3 other names. Lineage: Bacteria; Pseudomonadati; Nitrospirota; Nitrospiria; Nitrospirales; Nitrospiraceae. The record is from RNAcentral.
GCGGGUGUAACUCAGUGGUAGAGUGUCAGCUUCCCAAGCUGAAGGUCGCGGGUUCGAAUCCCGUCGCCCGCU